Molecule: long non-coding RNA, 4182 nt
Filed under: Salmo salar (Atlantic salmon)
Lineage: Eukaryota; Metazoa; Chordata; Actinopteri; Salmoniformes; Salmonidae
Description: lncRNA (ENSSSAG00000103885.1)
Source: RNAcentral
GAAAAUGACAUGAGUUCAGUGGCGCACACUCACAUGAGUUAGCUAUGUUCCUUUUCUUUUUUGAAGACAUUGGAAUUGUCCGGUUGGAAUAUUACUGAAGAUUUAUGAUAAAAGCAUCCUAAAGAUUGAUGCUAUACAUCGUUUGACAUGUUUCUACGAACCUUUCAAAACAGCAUCAGACCAAACACUACUCACUCAGUUCCAGGUUGGUGUAACGGCUGUCUUCGUCGUCCUCAGAUGAAGGGGAAGAGAAAUCAGACCAAAAUGCAGCGUGGCUGCCAUGAGCUGGUUGCUGGCGGGCUAAUCCAGGGGCAGGCUGCUGACGGGCUGGUCCUGGGGCUGGCUGAGGGCCAAUCUCAUCCUCUUCCAAUUCACUGUCAGACUCCAAUUUGACAGAGACAUGAUCCUCAUAUUCGGAAAAUUCUUCAUCUUACAAAGUGGAAGACGAUCCUUCCACACUAACUUCUCUCUCUACAAAAAUUAUUUCUAAGUCCCUCUGAGCAGAGAUUAUUUUUGCCAUACUGAUUGAUUGUGGUAAGGAGCCACACAUGCAAAGCUAUUUAUUUGUGUCCCUCCCCCAAUUUGCACCUGGCUGUGUGUGGGAAAAUACAGCAUUUCUUACAAUGUAUUGUAAUAACAUUGUGCAGGUUCCCGCAAGACAUUGUGUAGUUUCACACAGUACAAAGGGUAAAGAGUGCGAGAAAAGCAAGAGACAGGCAGAGAGACAGACAGGAUAUUGGUGCUAUGUUGAAACAACAGGCCCAGGGAGGAGGAAGAAAGAGUGAAGGCACACAGCAAACCUUUUUGCUCAAUUUUGACAUGUUUUCACCUACACACACACUUUUCCACACUUUUAUUACCCUCGGGUCCAGUGGACCCGGACACCACAUAUGUAAUAUAAAUAUGUAGGGAGGUCCGGUGCACCAGAACACCACAUAUGUAAUAUAAAUAUGUAGGGGGGUCCAGUGGACCCGAACACCACAUAUGUAAUAUAAAUAUGUAGGGGGGUCCAGUGGACCAGAACACCACAUAUGUAAUAUAAAUAUGUAGGGGGGUCCAGUGGACCCGAACACCACAUAUGUAAUAUAAAUAUGUAGGGGGGGUCCAGUGGACCAGAACACCACAUAUGUAAUAUAAAUAUGUAGGGGGGUCCAGUGGACCAGAACACCACAUAUGUAAUAUAAAUAUGUAGGGAGGUCCAGUGGACCAGAACACCACAUAUGUAAUAUAAAUAUGUAGGGAGGUCCAGUGGACCAGAACACCACAUAUGUAAUAUAAAUAUGUAGGGAGGUCCAGUGGACCAGAACACCACAUAUGUAAUAUAAAUAUGUAGGGAGGUGCACAGUGUGCACUCAAUGAAAAUGUGUUAUUUGACAUGUUCUUCACAGAAAAUGAGCCAAGGCCAAUGAGUCUCAGGUUGAAAUAAUGAUUCAUUGUAUCAUUUUUCUUUGAGUAAACAUUGAAAAUGGGUCCCACAUACCCGACCACCACACAAGGGUUAAGAAUUGUACGUUUUUGCACCAACUUGCCAUGUGGCUCCGUUUUUGGAGGAUUGUGGGUAACAUUUUAACCUCUCUAGGGUAUGUGGGACGAAAUCGUCCCACCUACUCAACAGCCAGUGGAAUCCCGUGGCGCGAUAUUCAAAUACCUUAGAAAUGCUAUUACUUCAAUUUCUUAAACAUAUGACUAUUUUACACCAUUUUAAAGACAAGACUUUCGUUAAUCUAACCACACUGUCCGAUUUCAAAAAGGCUUUACAACGAAAGCAAAACAUUAGAUUAUGUCAGCAGAGUACCCAGCCAGAAAUAAUCAGACACCCAUUUUUCAAGCUAGCAUAUAAUGUCACAUAAACCCAAACCACAGCUAAAUGCAGCACUAACCUUUGAUGAUCUUCAUCAGAUGACACUCCUAGGACAUUAUGUUAUACAAUACAUGCAUGUUUUGUUCAAUCAAGUUCAUAUUUAUAUAAAAAACCAGCUUUUUACAUUAGCAUGUGACGUUCAGAACUAGCAUACCCACCGCAAACUUCCAGUGAAUUUACUAAAUUACUCACGAUAAACGUUCACAAAAAACAUAACAAUUAUUUUAAGAAUUAUAGAUACAGAACUCCUUUAUGCAAUCGCUAUGUCCGAUUUUAAAAUAGCUUUUUGGCAAAAGCACAUUUUGCAAUAUCUGAGUAGAUAGCUCGCCAUCACGGGCUAGCUAUUUUGACACCCACCCAGUUUGGCACUCACCAAACUCAGAUUUACUAUAAGAAAAAUUGGAUUACCUUUGCUGUUCUUCGUCAGAAUGCACUCCCAGGACUUCUACUUCAAUAACAAAUGUUGGUUUGGUUCAAAAUAAUCCAUAGUUAUGUUCAAAUAUCCUCUGUUUUGUUCAUGCGUUCAAGACACUAUCCGAAGGGUGACGCGCUCGGCGCGUAUCGUGACCAAAAAAUUCUAAAUAUUCCAUUACCAUACUUCGAAGCAUGUCAAACGCUGUUUAAAAUCAAUUUUUAUUCGAUUUUUCUCGUAAAAAAGCGAUAAUAUUCCGACCGGAAAACCCUGUUUUCGUUCAAAGACUAAAAUCUAAAAUGGACUCUUCACGUGCACGCGCGCCCCCGUCUCAUUGUUCUCAGAUCGACCACUUACCAAAUGCACUACUGUUUUUCAGCCAUGGCCUGCAAAGUCAUCAUUCAACGUUCUGGCGCCCUCUGAGAGCCUAUGGGAGCCGUAGGAAGUGUCACGUUACAGCAGAGAUCCUCAGUUUUCAAUAAAGAGAGUGUAGAAGGCCAAGAAAUGGUCAGAGAGGGCACUUCCUGUUUGGAAUCUUCUCAGGUUUUUUUCCUGCCAUAUGAGUUCUGUUAUACUCACAGACACCAUUCAAACAGUUUUAGAAACUUUAGGGUGUUUUCUAUCCAAAUCAAACUAUAAAUCAAAUUAUAUGCAUAUUCUAGUUUCUGGGCAGUAGUAAUAACCAGAUGAAAUCGGGUACGUUUUUUAUCCGGCCGUGCAAAUACUGCCCCCUACCCUAGAGAGGAAUGAUACCUUUACACAAUGUUGUAUGCAUGUUUGAAGAAAGAAAGUACAUUUCUAUGUUAGUAUGAAGUAGCUUGUUGUGCUAUGAGGUGUAAUGGAUCAGGAUGAACGGAUAUCAGAACUGUCAGGCAAACUGACAUUCACUGAUCUGACCACCCAUUCCCACCAUCAGCUAGUCCACAUGCAUCACCCUUAAUAUCAGAGGCAAAUGCAGCAUCCAACAAGGCUUGCAGCUCUACCUCCACUUACUGCAAGUGGAAUGAGCACUGUGUUCAACAAUGCCUGUUAAAGUGGGUUAAAAUGACUAAUAAUCAGAAACAUAAAAGAACGGUAAACAAAUGUAAAACUGAAAGUAAGAUUAAAGUAGAUCUGACGAAUAAAAACAGUUUUGGAAUUGAUAAAAUGAAGUUGGACAUAAGCCAUUUUUUUAUGCUGGACUUAAUAUAUGAGUGUUUGUGAAACAGCAAAAGUUAAGUAGGUAUACCGUAUAUUAUACAUAAGAAUACCUCAUUUUUGAAAUACUCAAAAAGCUGAUGCAAAUAGUUGUUAUAUUUUAAAAGUAGAACUAGCACAAUAUUUUGUACAAUGUAUGUGCACGUUUUUAUCCAAAUUCGUGUGUACGUUAGCGUGUUGUCACGUCCUGACCAGUAUAAGGUUAAUUGGUAUUGUAGUUUGGUCAGGACGUGGCAGAGGGUAUUCGUUUUAUGUGGUUCGGGGUGGUGUGUUUUGUUGAAGGGGCAUUUGGUUUAAGUAUUCCGGGGUUUUUGGGCACUGUUUGGUUUUCAGGUAUUCUAUGAUUUUGUCUAGUAUGUCUGUUUCUAUGUUUGGUUAAUUGGGGUUGGGACUCUCAGUUGAAGGCAGGUGUUGUCUAUCUGCCUUGGAUUGAGAGUCCCAUAUAUGAGGGUGUGUUUGUUAUUUGUGGGUGAUUGUUCUGUGUUGAGCGUUAUGCUUUGCCAGACUGUUUGUUGUUCGUUAGUUCUUUGUUAUUUUGGUGUUCAUUUUGUAUUUAUUAAAAAGCAAGAUGAUCAUACACAUACCUGCUGCGUUUUGGUCCUCCAUUUCCAACGACAAGUGUGACGCAUGUGAGCUUGCAUGUUCAUGUGUACGAGUGUGUAUAUUUAUUUGUGUGUGUGUGUGUGAGGGGGAGGCAGUAGGUUCAUCCUGU